This is a long non-coding RNA of Alosa sapidissima (American shad), 388 nucleotides long. RefSeq lists it as uncharacterized. The transcript is spliced from 3 exons. Lineage: Eukaryota; Metazoa; Chordata; Actinopteri; Clupeiformes; Clupeidae. The record is from RefSeq and is a predicted model, not a curated record.
AUAAGAGGGGAGUGGUGUAUUGAUAAGAGGGGAGAGGUGUAUUGAUAAGAGGGGAGAGGUGUAUUGAUAAGAGGGGAGUGGUGUAUUGAUAAGAGGGGAGAGGUGUAUUGAUAAGAUCACUAAGGGGAGUGGUGUAUUGAUAAGAUCACUAAGGGGAGUGGUGUAUUGAUAAGAGGGGAGAGGUGUAUUGAUAAGAUGGGAGAGGUGUAUUGAUAAGAGCACUAAGGGGAGUGGUGUAUUGAUAAGAGGGGAGAGGUGUAUUGAUAAGAGCACUAAGGGGAGUGGUGUAUUGAUAAGAGGGGAGUGGUGUAUUGAUAAGAGCACUAAGGGGAGUGGUGUAUUGAUAAGAGGGGAGAGGUGCAUUGAUAAGAGCACUAAGGGGAGUGUC